RNAcentral lists this ribosomal RNA (468 nucleotides) under uncultured bacterium. RNAcentral describes it as "partial 16S ribosomal RNA". It matches the Rfam family "Bacterial small subunit ribosomal RNA", at positions 28 to 507 of the family's 1533-position model. The record is from RNAcentral.
GACGAACGCUGGCGGCGUGCUUAACACAUGCAAGUCGAACGGUGAAGCUCCAGCUUGCUGGAGUGGAUCAGUGGCGAACGGGUGAGUAACACGUGAGCAACCUGCCCCUGACUCUGGAAUAAGCGCUGGAAACGGCGUCUAAUACUGGAUACGAGAAGGGCCCGCAUGGGCACUUUCUGGAAAGUUUUUCGGUUGGGGAUGGGCUCGCGGCCUAUUAGCUUGUUGGUGAGGUAAUGGCUCACCAAGGCGACGACGGGUAGCCGGCCUGAGAGGGCGACCGGCCACACUGGGACUGAGACACGGCCCAGACUCCUACGGGAGGCAGCAGUGGGGAAUAUUGCACAAUGGGCGAAAGCCUGAUGCAGCGACGCCGCGUGAGGGAUGACGGCCUUCGGGUUGUAAACCUCUUUCAGCAGGGAAGAAGCGAAAGUGACGGUACCUGCAGAAGAAGCACCGGCUAACUACGUG